UAACAGAUCUCUUUCUCUCUGCAGGCAUUGGUGUCACUAUACGGUUACACGGACAGUCUCCUGUCAAGUGCAGAAUGGGUCAGAAACGGUGAUCCAGCGAGUUUAUCAGAGCUGCCGGUGGCCAGGACCUUGUGCCAACUUAGUGAGUUACAGGACUCUUAUAAGGCCCACGUACAAAAUGUCCUACCGAACUGUGACUACACUGGAGUGGAGGUGCUGUCCUGGCUUCACAGGGAGCAACUGUGAAGAGGAGACUUUUUGGUGCAACAUUCAUGUUACUUACAACAAGACACCUGUGACUUUGUCAUCUGUUCUGAUGGAAGAAAACUGGGCUCUGGAAGAAAGGAGAAUCAUUUCCCUUUCUCAUCAUGAUGCAUGAGAAGAACAUGUUUUGCAUUUUUCUUCUGGUUGUUUUCCAUUUUACCUGUUGCCUCUGGAGCUUAGAAACAACUCCUGCUUCUCCAUUGAGUUCCACGUGGUAUUAGGCAUCAGCUGAAUCUCUGCUGAUGUCUUAUGAUUGGGCAGAAAUAUCUUGAGGCUUUCUGUUGGUUUGCAUCACGUUGGUGCAUCCUGCUUGUGCUGGCUGCUGAAGGGUUACUGGGAGUGCCUAGCAUCUCUGACUGCAGUCUGUAGCUACGCCUCGUUUUCAUUGCACCACAAUAUCUUGCUGCUAAUCAUGCAACUCAAGCAAGUCUCCAAACUAGGAAGCUGUUUAAUUAGUCACAAAGGUGGCUGCAGACAGCAGCUCUCUUCAGGCUGUUGAGGAAACAAUAGUUUCCCGGGAGCUCAAGAGAAACCUAAAACAUGGGAAAGCUACUCUGAAUUCAAGUGUUCAGGAGGGAGCUUUGCAUUUUAACACACUGCUGAAAGAAGUGGGCUUGGAAAACAAGGUGUUGUGUGCAGCUUGGCUUUCUACCUGUCACAACAAGGGAGAGGGAUGCCUGGGGCUGGGGCAGAACUCAUUUCCCAGGUAGCUGUGACUCAGCCUGGUAGAGGACCUGACUGGGGACCAAGCAGCUGUGUGUGCAGCCCAGUCAUGCCUGUAGGUUUGGACAGGUGUGAGUGAUUACAGCUCAGUUGUGCUGCUGGUGUAAAGGAGAGAAUCCAGCUCCCUCCCGCAGUGCCAGAUCCAUCUCAGCAGAGUUCAGUGGAAAUAAAAAGCCAACAUAAUCUUUAGAAAUUCAGCAGUGAUCUCGCAGGAGCAGGUCUGUGGAAUGAGGUGACAACUUUACACGAUCAGCUUUCAAGGUGCAACUGUGUGUUUGGGCUUGGAUGUGGGCUGUAGAGUGUGAGCAGAAAGCCAGUAGCAAGCUCUCGCUUCCAUGUAGGAGAUUUUCUUAACUUUUUUUUCCCCUCUCUCUCUAAAACAUCUGGAGCUGCUGACAGUCCCAUGUUCUUGAAAGAAAAAAGACCCCUUUUUAGCAGGACAUGGUUCUGCCACUUUACUCUUUAGCAGAAGCAUUGAGCAUCAUUUGAUGGUGUGCACAGGACCUUAAGCUGUCCGGAGGCAUCAGGUUUAAGAUUACAUUAUUUACUACUUAAGUUAAUCCUUAUUGUUAGUAUUGCCUGGAGUUGUAAGAAAAAAGAGGUUGGAAAAGUUUCUCUGGGGUUUUUUUGGCAGUUCUGGUUGGUACAUUUGGCAACCUGAUACAAAGCCUUUUGUACUCUCAAGUUUUUUGGCCUUUUCUACUGUAAAUGCUGUUCUUCUGGAAGGGCAGGGUGCUUACAUCCUGUAAACAACAGGAAAAAAAAAACAGAUCUAAACAAGCAACACAAAAACAGAGCAGUGUAGAACCUCAAAAUGUUUUCAUCUUUUUCUAACAACAAAUUUCACCUCUAUUUAGUUUCACGUGCGCAGAUGGAGCUUUUGAAGUUGUGAAGUAGUUAUGGCUGAAGGCAGAUCAGGGCUUCAUUAUUGCUGAUUUGUGUUCCUGCUAUGUUGCAAAUAUUGUCAGUGGUGUUCUCCAUUGGCAAUAGGAUGGCACCUAUGAUGGUGUGGUACUUCCACAUCAAGAUGCUCCUGUUUCUAGAGACAUAAAGAAAACGUUUCCUUUUUCCAGUGGUCACUGGAGUAGUGAGGUUGCAUCUUCAUAAGUAGGUAAGGCCAGGAGGUAAUGACUGAUUAAGCACAGAGUAAUUUGGGGAGUUGAGUGUUCACUGCCAUGGCACCUCUUCACAAAGGGGCAGUACAGUGUGGCUGUUCAGCCCCAAAGUAUGGUAGAUUGCUGAUGUACUGCAUGCUGUAACGCACCCUCAUUGAGAACCCCCUUUCCAUGGUAACAGACUGCAUGCCAAUAGUGCAAGCUGUUAAAUGCAAUUUGAGCACUACAAAAAGUCCUGACCCUUAGCUAAUAAGUUGAGCUUGAGAAAGUAACCACUUAACUGUCACCAGCUGGCAGGCACCUAUGUUAAUGCUGGAGGCUGCACAUUGUUUAGAUUUAAGUUAUCUUGGGAAUUCAGUCCUUGCAUUGUAGCUGAUAAAAAUAAUAAUAAAAAGAGCAUCAUCUGGAGGAAGCCCAGCUUUGAGAGUGGAUGGAGGCUUUGCUGCUCAGCAGGGAUGGCUGCUUCUAGUCUGUGUCCUUUCUAACGUCAGCACUGCUCAGGCUGUCCUCCUGGCCCUUUGCUGCUGUCCUCUCACCCAAAGGUAUGUCAA
This is a non-coding RNA of Meleagris gallopavo (turkey), 2653 nucleotides long. The record is from RefSeq and is a predicted model, not a curated record. NCBI's taxonomy places the organism in Eukaryota, Metazoa, Chordata, Aves, Galliformes, Phasianidae.